This 253-nucleotide ribosomal RNA is filed under the name uncultured bacterium. RNAcentral describes it as "partial 16S ribosomal RNA". It matches the Rfam family "Bacterial small subunit ribosomal RNA", at positions 524 to 776 of the family's 1533-position model. The record is from RNAcentral.
UACGUAGGGGGCUAGCGUUGUUCGGAAUCACUGGGCGUAAAGCGCACGUAGGCGGAUUGCUAAGUCAGGGGUGAAAUCCUGGAGCUCAACUCCAGAACUGCCUUUGAUACUGGCGAUCUUGAGUCCGGGAGAGGUGAGUGGAACUGCGGGUGUAGAGGUGAAAUUCGUAGAUAUUCGCAAGAACACCAGUGGCGAAGGCGGCUCACUGGCCCGGUACUGACGCUGAGGUGCGAAAGCGUGGGGAGCAAACAGG